This 944-nucleotide long non-coding RNA is filed under the name Homo sapiens (human). Its description in RNAcentral is "long non-coding RNA NONHSAT176336.1". The record is from RNAcentral. Lineage: Eukaryota; Metazoa; Chordata; Mammalia; Primates; Hominidae.
GCUGUGCAGUGGCAUGACCAUAGUUCACUGCAACCUCAAACUCCUGAGCUUCAGCGAUCCUCCCACCUCAGCCUCCCAAGUAGUCCCAUAGUCCCAGCCCCUGAGCUGGGACUACAGGCUGAUAUGAUCUGAAAAUGCUACGGAGAUUAUGAGAAAGAAAAUGGGGUUUUAUGGUGAAAUAAACUAGGGAAAUGAUGCUUUCCAUAAAUACAUAAUGCUUCUUUACCGUGAAUUCUCAGCCCUUUAAUACACUAAGGUGAACUGUGAAUCUUCUAGUGUGGGAGGUAUACGCAGCAUUUUCCAAAUUUAUGGGAGAAGUCUCGGCGGGAGAUUAAGUCUUGAGAUUCAUCAGACCAGAGAUGGUCUGUGAAGCCGCAGAUCAGGAUGACAGCCACUAUGGGAAUGAACAAAGAUGAAGACCGGAGACCCCAAGACAGACCUCCGGGGCAGCCAUCACUGAGAGAGGGCGGAGGAGGAGGGGGAAGUGAAGGCUCCUGAGGAGAAGGCCAUGUGGAGGAGGGAAACCAGGGGAAGGUGGAGUCGGAGACAUUGGAAGAACAGAUGGGCACACCAACGCCUGGAGAUGUUGGAUGCAGAAGGCGAAAUGUCAGAAGCUGGAGUCCUGCAUCUCAGCUGGAAGGUGAGGGCUGAUAAUUUAUCAGUUGCCAUUGAUCAAAGUUCACAAGGCAAAUCUUCAUAAACUUCUAAAGCUGCCUACAGUUUCCCGUAAACAAAUCUCUAAAUUUACAAAAGCAAUGCUUGCUGAUUGUAAAAAACACACAGUGCCAAAGCAUACAAAGGAAGAAGACCCGCUUGCAAUUUGCUACCUACAUCCCACUCUUGGGGCCAACAACUAUUGGAAGUGUGGUGAGUGAUUGACUUACAUCCUUCUAGAUCUUAUCUACAUAUUUGCAAAGAAAAAAUAUACAUAUAUAAAAUAAAAU